GUUUCAGGGCGGGGUGAAAUUCCCCACCGGCGGUACAGCCCGCGACCGUCUGCCGUUUGGCAGGCGCUGACCCGGUGAGAUUCCGGGGCCGACGGUAUAGUCCGGAUGGAAGAAA
RNAcentral lists this non-coding RNA (115 nucleotides) under uncultured Gemmiger sp. Its description in RNAcentral is "FMN riboswitch (RFN element)". It matches the Rfam family "FMN riboswitch aptamer (RFN element)". From Rfam's summary of the family: The RFN element is a highly conserved domain that is found frequently in the 5'-untranslated regions of prokaryotic mRNAs that encode for flavin mononucleotide (FMN) biosynthesis and transport proteins. Lineage: Bacteria; Bacillati; Bacillota; Clostridia; Eubacteriales; Oscillospiraceae. The record is from RNAcentral.